GCACAUCACUGAUGGACUAUUCGAAUGGA
This 29-nucleotide non-coding RNA is filed under the name Mus musculus (house mouse). The record is from RNAcentral. Lineage: Eukaryota; Metazoa; Chordata; Mammalia; Rodentia; Muridae.